Molecule: unclassified non-coding RNA, 358 nt
Filed under: soil metagenome
Description: partial contains 5.8S ribosomal RNA, internal transcribed spacer 2, and large subunit ribosomal RNA
Rfam family: 5.8S ribosomal RNA (bases 1-120)
Source: RNAcentral
GAUGAAGAACGCAGCGAAAUGCGAUAAGUAAUGUGAAUUGCAGAAUUCAGUGAAUCAUCGAAUCUUUGAACGCACAUUGCGCCCGUCAGUAUUCUGGCGGGCAUGCCUGUUCGAGCGUCAUUACGCCCCUCAAGUCCCCUGUGGACUUGGUGUUGGGGAUCGGCGAGGCUGGUUUUCCAGCACAGCCGUCCCUUAAAUUAAUUGGCGGUCUCGCCGUAGCCCUCCUCUGCGCAGUAGUAAAACACUCGCAACAGGAGCCCGGCGCGGUCCACUGCCGUAAAACCCCCCAACUUUUUAUAGUUGACCUCGAAUCAGGUAGGACUACCCGCUGAACUUAAGCAUAUCAAUAAGCGGAGGA